This is a long non-coding RNA of Panthera uncia (snow leopard), 554 nucleotides long. RefSeq lists it as uncharacterized. The transcript is spliced from 2 exons. The record is from RefSeq and is a predicted model, not a curated record. NCBI's taxonomy places the organism in Eukaryota, Metazoa, Chordata, Mammalia, Carnivora, Felidae.
UCAGGAAAGUAUUCUUCAUGGAAUAAAGUAAUGCUUGAACUAAGAUUUGAAGGAUGCUUAAUGUUAGAUAAAAGGUGCCUGAAAAUACAUUUCAGAGAAAGGAACUAGAAAAACUCAAGUACAGAGGCAUAGAAUAGUAUAAAAUGUUCCAUGAUCAUUUCAGGCAGACUGCUUUUACUAGACUGUAAAGUAAAUUCAGAACAAGAUGGCAUUGAGGCUGGAAAGGAUAAUGAAAUGCCAGUGUUCAUGUUUUAGAGAGGUCAUGCAACAGUGCUAGCCGAUGUCAACAGAAGUCCCUGAUUAUGACCUUCUUUCUCAAAUAAAAGAAUGUUAGAAGGAAGCUUUGAUGCACCCUUAUCUGCUACUUUGUGUGCAGAAAAAAAGAGAGAUGCAGAAGUCAUCUUGUAACAGUGAAGUCAGAAAUCGCGUGCUGAAGAUAAUUCCUGGCUGACAUCCUUGAGCAGUAUGUGAAAACAAAAGCCCUAUGUUUAAGCCCUUGUUAAUUGGGUAUUCUGCUACUAAUUGCCAGAAAUAAAAAGUACGUUUCAAUUUUC